AUUGAACGCUGGCGGCAUGCCUAACACAUGCAAGUCGAGCGGAUGAAGGCAGCUUGCUCCUGGAUUCAGCGGCGGACGGGUGAGUAAUGCCUAGGAAUCUGCCUGGCAGCGGUGGAUAACGUCCGGAAACGGCCGCUAAUACCGCAUACGUCCUGAGGGAGCAAGAGGGGGAUCUUCGGACCUCACGCUAUCAGAUGAGCCUAGCUCGGAUUAGCUAGUUUGUGGGGUAAAGGCCUACCAAGGCGACGAUCCGUAACUGAACUAAGAGGAUGAUCAGUCACACUGGAGCUGAGACACGGUCCAGACUCCUGAGGGAGGCCGCAGUCGGGAAUAUUAGACAAUGGUCGAAAGCAUGAUCCAACCAUGCCGCGUGUGUGAAGAAGAUCUUCGGAUUGUAAAGCCCUUUUAGUUGGGAGGAAGGGCAGUAAGUUAAUACCUUGCUCUUUUGACGUUACCAGCAGAAUAAGCACCGGCUAACUACGUG
This 484-nucleotide ribosomal RNA is filed under the name uncultured bacterium. RNAcentral describes it as "partial 16S ribosomal RNA". It matches the Rfam family "Bacterial small subunit ribosomal RNA", at positions 30 to 507 of the family's 1533-position model. The record is from RNAcentral.